UGGACAGCAGCCAUCUUGUCAGCUCUGGGGUCCACCAUGUCCCUCAUCCUGGAUCUGGACCCCGUUCUAUCCAUCAUCGUGUCCAGCUGUGUGGCCGUGUUCUACACUUUCAUAGGAGGCCUGUACUCUGUGGCCUACACUGAUGUCAUCCAGCUCAUCUGUCUUUGCGUGGGGCUGAUUGUGUCAUGUCCGUUUGCCUUCUUCCACCCAUCUGUUGACGUGUCCAGAAUCCAGGACACGUGGGUGGGUGAAAUGCCC
Long non-coding RNA from Haliotis rubra (blacklip abalone), 258 nucleotides. RefSeq lists it as uncharacterized. The transcript is spliced from 3 exons. The record is from RefSeq and is a predicted model, not a curated record. Lineage: Eukaryota; Metazoa; Mollusca; Gastropoda; Lepetellida; Haliotidae.